UGGGGAAUUUUCCGCAAUGGGCGAAAGCCUGACGGAGUGACGCCGCGUGUGGGACGAAGGCCUUCGGGUCGUAAACCACUGUCAGUGGGAAAGAUGGGUGCCGGCGCGAUAACCGCCGGUAUCUGACGGUACCUGCAGAGGAAGCCCCGGCCAACUCUGUGCCAGCAGCCGCGGUAAGACAGAGGGGGCAAGCGUUGCUCGGAAUUACUGGGCGUAAAGGGCGCGUAGGCGGAAUGGCAAGUCGGUCGUGAAAUCCUUCGGCUCAACCGAAGAACGUCGAUCGAAACUGCCGUUCUUGAGGAUUGCAGAGGAGACUGGAAUUCCCGGUGUAGCGGUGAAAUGUGUAGAGAUCGGGAGGAACACCGGUGGCGAAGGCGGGUCUCUGGGCAAUUCCUGACGCUGAGGCGCGAAAGCGUGGGGAGCAAACGGGAUUAGAUACCCCGGUAGUCCACGCUGUAAACGAUGACGACUAGGUGUGGGGGGGUUCAGUCCCUUCCGUGCCGCAGCUAACGCAUUAAGUCGUCCGCCUGGGGAGUACGGCCGCAAGGUUGA
RNAcentral lists this ribosomal RNA (552 nucleotides) under uncultured bacterium. RNAcentral's name for it is "bacterial SSU rRNA". It matches the Rfam family "Bacterial small subunit ribosomal RNA", at positions 355 to 897 of the family's 1533-position model. The record is from RNAcentral.